RNAcentral lists this ribosomal RNA (1218 nucleotides) under Triticum aestivum (bread wheat). RNAcentral's name for it is "partial small subunit ribosomal RNA". Lineage: Eukaryota; Viridiplantae; Streptophyta; Magnoliopsida; Poales; Poaceae. The record is from RNAcentral.
AUGCAACAAAUGGCGCUAUCUGCGUUCGUCACGACCCCCUCCUCAUCCUAUAACAUUAACUUACCGGGGUUGACUGCCCACCGGUCUCAAAGAUGGCGCGCGAGACGCCUGCGCAGCCAAGUUCGAGCGCAGGCACAACAAGAGUUGCAGUAUAAGAAGCUUGGAGAUUCAGACCUUCUUAUCAGCGAGAUUACUCUUGGAACAAUGACUUUUGGGGAGCAAAACACAGAGAAGGAAGCACAUGAUAUGCUUUCUUAUUCUUUUGAUCAGGGCAUCAAUAUCCUGGACACUGCGGAAAUGUACCCAGUUCCAACAAAGAAGGAAACUCAAGGCAGGACUGAUCUAUAUAUAGGCAGGUGGAUGCAAUCCAAGCCACGAGACAAGGUGAUUCUAGCCACCAAAGUUUCUGGUUAUUCAGGGCGAUCUACUUAUCUUCGGGAUAAUGCAGAGGUGGUACGUGUCGAUGCCGCCAAUAUCAAGGAAAGUGUUGAAAAGAGUCUUUCACGUUUAUCUACAGACUACAUUGAUUUGCUUCAGAUACACUGGCCCGAUAGGUAUGUGCCAAUAUUCGGUGGAUUCAGUUAUAAUUCAACCAAAUGGAGGCCAAGCGUUCCAUUUGAGGAUCAAUUGAAAGCUUUCCAGGAGCUAAUUGAUGAAGGAAAGGUACGCUAUAUCGGUGUUUCCAAUGAAACCUCCUAUGGAGUAAUGGAGUUUGUACAGGCUGCCAAACUUCAAGGACUUCCAAAGAUUGUGAGCAUCCAGAACAGUUAUAGUCUAAUUGUGAGAUGCCGCUUUGAAGUUGAUCUUGUUGAGGUCUGCCACCCAAAUAACUGCAAUAUUGGGCUGCUUGCCUACUCCCCAUUGGCGGGUGGCGUUCUCAGCGGAAAGUAUCUUGAUGCUAACUCUGCUGAUGCAAAAAGGAGCAGGCUGAAUCUCUUCCCGGGAUACAUGGAGCGCUACAACGUGUCUUUGGCUAAAGAAGCAGCGGACGAGUAUGUCAAGCUUGCCAAGAAGCAUGGGCUAACACCUGUCCAGCUUGCCCUCGGCUUCGUGCGCGACCGCCCUUUCACAGCUAGCACCAUCAUCGGAGCAACCACCAUGGAUCAGUUAAAGGAGAACAUCGAUGCAUUUACCAGCGCUCCGAGGCCUCUGCCACCGCAAGUCCUCGAUGACAUUGAGAUUCUUUUCAAGAAAUACAAAGAUCCAGCAAUCCUCUAG